AACGCUGGCGGCAGGCCUAACACAUGCAAGUCGAACGCUCUCUUCGGAGGGAGUGGCGCACGGGUGAGUAACGCGUGGGAACCUACCCUGGGGUACGGAAUAACAGCGGGAAACUGCUGCUAAUACCGUAUACGCCUUUAGGGGGAAAGAUUUAUCGCCCUGGGAUGGGCCCGCGUCCGAUUAGUUAGUUGGUGGGGUAACGGCCUACCAAGGCUUCGAUCGGUAGCUGGUCUGAGAGGAUGAUCAGCCACACUGGGACUGAGACACGGCCCAGACUCCUACGGGAGGCAGCAGUGGGGAAUCUUGGACAAUGGGGGCAACCCUGAUCCAGCCAUGCCGCGUGAGUGAAGAAGGCCUUAGGGUUGUAAAGCUCUUUCAGUGGUGACGAUGAUGACGGUAGCCACAGAAGAAGCCCCGGCUAACUCCGUGCCAGCAGCCGCGGUAAU
RNAcentral lists this ribosomal RNA (446 nucleotides) under uncultured bacterium. RNAcentral describes it as "bacterial SSU rRNA". It matches the Rfam family "Bacterial small subunit ribosomal RNA", at positions 32 to 524 of the family's 1533-position model. The record is from RNAcentral.